RNAcentral lists this ribosomal RNA (430 nucleotides) under uncultured bacterium. RNAcentral's name for it is "bacterial SSU rRNA". It matches the Rfam family "Bacterial small subunit ribosomal RNA", at positions 354 to 776 of the family's 1533-position model. The record is from RNAcentral.
GUAGGGAAUCUUCGGCAAUGGGGGGAACCCUGACCGAGCAACGCCGCGUGAGUGAAGAAGGUUUUCGGAUCGUAAAGCUCUGUUGUAAGAGAAGAACGGGUGUGAGAGUGGAAAGUUCACACUGUGACGGUAUCUUACCAGAAAGGGACGGCUAACUACGUGCCAGCAGCCGCGGUAAUACGUAGGUCCCGAGCGUUGUCCGGAUUUAUUGGGCGUAAAGCGAGCGCAGGCGGUUAGAUAAGUCUGAAGUUAAAGGCUGUGGCUUAACCAUAGUAUGCUUUGGAAACUGUUUAACUUGAGUGCAGAAGGGGAGAGUGGAAUUCCAUGUGUAGCGGUGAAAUGCGUAGAUAUAUGGAGGAACACCGGUGGCGAAAGCGGCUCUCUGGUCUGUAACUGACGCUGAGGCUCGAAAGCGUGGGGAGCAAACAGG